AUUGAACGCUGGCGGCAUGCUUUACACAUGCAAGUCGAACGGCAGCGCGGGCUUCGGCCUGGCGGCGAGUGGCGAACGGGUGAGUAAUACAUCGGAACGUGCCCAGUAGUGGGGGAUAGCUCGGCGAAAGCCGGAUUAAUACCGCAUACGACCUGAGGGUGAAAGCGGGGGAUCUUCGGACCUCGCGCUAUUGGAGCGGCCGAUGGCAGAUUAGCUAGUUGGUGGGGUAAAGGCCUACCAAGGCGACGAUCUGUAGCUGGUCUGAGAGGACGACCAGCCACACUGGGACUGAGACACGGCCCAGACUCCUACGGGAGGCAGCAGUGGGGAAUUUUGGACAAUGGGCGAAAGCCUGAUCCAGCAAUGCCGCGUGUGUGAUGAAGGCCUUCGGGUUGUAAAGCACUUUUGGCGGGAACGAAAAGGACUGUGCCAAGACCACGGUUCGAUGACGGUACCCGCAGAAGAAGCACCGGCUAACUACGU
RNAcentral lists this ribosomal RNA (483 nucleotides) under uncultured bacterium. RNAcentral describes it as "partial 16S ribosomal RNA". It matches the Rfam family "Bacterial small subunit ribosomal RNA", at positions 29 to 506 of the family's 1533-position model. The record is from RNAcentral.